AUGGGUCUAAGAGACAAAAGGUGUGCGCAGAGUGGAAGGAUACGAUCACUGGAGUCGGCCAAGUAUUUGAAAGUCCUAAAGAUUUCUGUGUUUUCCAGGAUGCUUUGCAUAAAAUGUACUGGUGAAGAUUGCCCAUGGCGGAUACAUGCUUCCAAGUCUCCUUCCAACAUAGAUUUCAUGAUCAAGAAAAUGUCUGAAACACACACCUGUGAAUCUAAAACUGUGAAAAGUCAUCGUUUGGCGUCAUAG
This 249-nucleotide ribosomal RNA is filed under the name Triticum aestivum (bread wheat). RNAcentral's name for it is "partial small subunit ribosomal RNA". Lineage: Eukaryota; Viridiplantae; Streptophyta; Magnoliopsida; Poales; Poaceae. The record is from RNAcentral.